Hemicordylus capensis (graceful crag lizard) is the source of this 1011-nucleotide long non-coding RNA. RefSeq lists it as uncharacterized. The transcript is spliced from 2 exons. The record is from RefSeq and is a predicted model, not a curated record. Lineage: Eukaryota; Metazoa; Chordata; Lepidosauria; Squamata; Cordylidae.
CUACAGGACCGUGAGUUCCUCUACUCCCUGCAGCCUGCCCCCUAGUACCCAGUUCUGGUCCUGUCUUUGCUCCGGGCAGUUCGUUUUUUCCUAGCUCUGGAUACCUUGGAUCGUGCUUUACUCAAUUCUUCUGUGUGCGAAGGGGGGAAAGGAGUUGCUUAGUGUUGAUGCCUCCGUGAGUGUGUCUUUCCCCCUGUACUGGACCCGUGCGGGUCAGCUCCCUAGUCAAUUUCACUGGAUAUUGAAUCCCUGACUGGGCAAUGGAAAUUGCACACACUGGCGACAUGCUGAGAGGUUCCCUUUCGGAGGGCCCUCUCUCAGAUGCCUCUAGGGAUACCCCAUUAGUUCCCUCGGGAGCUGGGGGGGGGCGAUGGAUCUGUCGCUCCGGCCACCUCGAUCCUGUACGCGGGAGAGGGUAGUGAGCCGAUGAAAGCCCUGCCGCCUCCUAUUAAGGCACUUAAAAAAUCAAAGCAUUUGGAAGGAGAAAAGCGAAAGAAGAAGAAGAAGGUGAAAAAAGUCGCCUCACUCAAAGCUCCGUUGAGCGAACGGCUACAGCUGCGUCAGCCACCCUGUACCAGGCAUGAUCUUCUGAGUCAGACCAAGAAAUAGUUGCCUGUUUUCUCCCGCCAAUAGCUCUGAAAAAUUCAAUUAUUUCAAAGAAUAUCAACCAAUCUAAGCAUGCUCUUCUCAGAUCCAUCGUCUACGAACAAUGCACAUUGCCACCUUUCCACAAGAGGAACAGUUAAUUUAAGCUGAAUGUUGCAAAGUAAACUAUUUCACUCCUAAUCUCCUCCCUUCACACUAUCUGGGUUUACCUUGUUCUAGGCUUUGUUCAGAGGCACUGGCUACAAGAAUGCAGAGCUGCAUCCAAAGGGGUAUUUCUGUUCUGUUUGGAAUAAAUGAUACUUUAUUAUUUGCUCUGAGUUGCGAGGAGAAGCUAGAAUACAGGAAACCAUGGAAGAAUAAAAGGUUUUCAAGGGCUUUGAUUAAAUAAAGCUUAUUUUAAAUUUC